Streptomyces alboflavus is the source of this 78-nucleotide non-coding RNA. It matches the Rfam family "ASpks TB sRNA". NCBI's taxonomy places the organism in Bacteria, Bacillati, Actinomycetota, Actinomycetes, Kitasatosporales, Streptomycetaceae. The record is from Rfam.
CUUGAUGGAGCCCAGCCACAGGGGUUCGCCGGUCUCCGGGCGUUCCUGGCCGUAGGUGGCGAUGAGGGCUUGGGCCUC